This 29-nucleotide non-coding RNA is filed under the name Bombyx mori (domestic silkworm). Lineage: Eukaryota; Metazoa; Arthropoda; Insecta; Lepidoptera; Bombycidae. The record is from RNAcentral.
UCAAAAUGACCUUGUGAGACGCUGAAAGC